GGCUCAAUGGUCUAGUAGUAUGAUUCGCGCUUCGGGUCAAUCACGUGAAAAUCACGUGAUUACAUGUGCGCGAGGUCCCGGGUUCAAUUCCCGGUUGAGCCC
Molecule: transfer RNA, 102 nt
Filed under: Wolfiporia cocos MD-104 SS10
Lineage: Eukaryota; Fungi; Basidiomycota; Agaricomycetes; Polyporales; Phaeolaceae
Description: tRNA-Pro
Rfam family: tRNA
About the family: Transfer RNA (tRNA) molecules are approximately 80 nucleotides in length. Their secondary structure includes four short double-helical elements and three loops (D, anti-codon, and T loops).
Source: RNAcentral